CACGUAGGGGCCAAGCGUUGUCCGGAUUCAUUGGGCGUAAAGAGCUCGUAGGCGGUUCAGUUAGUCGGGUGUGAAAUCUCCGGGCUCAACCCGGAGGGGCCACCCGAUACUGCUGUGACUUGAGUCCGGUAGGGGAGUGGGGAAUUCCUGGUGUAGCGGUGAAAUGCGCAGAUAUCAGGAGGAACACCGGUGGCGAAGGCGGGUCUCUGGGCCGAUACUGACGCUGAGGAGCGAAAGCGUGGGGAGCGAACAGG
This 254-nucleotide ribosomal RNA is filed under the name uncultured bacterium. RNAcentral's name for it is "partial 16S ribosomal RNA". It matches the Rfam family "Bacterial small subunit ribosomal RNA", at positions 524 to 776 of the family's 1533-position model. The record is from RNAcentral.